GUCCUCUCGUUUUUGUGGGAGGUCGGGCCUGCCCGGUGAAAGUGUUUUAACGGCCGCGGUAUUUUGACCGUGCAAAGGUAGCAUAAUCAUUAGUCUUUUAAUAGGGGGCUGGAAUGAAGGGUUUGACGAAAUAAUGACUGUCUCAUUAAUAAUAUUUGAAUUUAACUUUUAAGUUAAAAGGCUUAAAUUUAGUUGGAAGACGAGAAGACCCUAUAGAGCUUUAUUUAUGAUUAUAAAAUUUUUUAUUGUCUAUUUUCUUGUUUUAUAAUCAUGUAUUUUGUUGGGGAGACAAAGAAAUAUAUAAAACUUUCAUUAUUUUAUUACAUUUAUUUAUGAUUUUGUGAUCCGUUAUUAUCGAUUAUUAGAAUAAGUUACCUUAGGGAUAACAGCGUAAUCUUCUUUGGGAGUUCAAAUUUACAAGAAGGCUUGCGACCUCGAUGUUGGAUUAAGAUAAUAGUUAGGUGCAGUAGCUUAAUUAAUAGGUCUGUUCGACCUUUAAAUUCUUACAUGAUCUGAGUUCAGACCGG
This 527-nucleotide ribosomal RNA is filed under the name Nesolestes sp. RMNH INS 228868. RNAcentral's name for it is "partial 16S ribosomal RNA". It matches the Rfam family "Bacterial large subunit ribosomal RNA", at positions 1831 to 2619 of the family's 2925-position model. Lineage: Eukaryota; Metazoa; Arthropoda; Insecta; Odonata; Argiolestidae. The record is from RNAcentral.